This 317-nucleotide long non-coding RNA is filed under the name Pongo abelii (Sumatran orangutan). RNAcentral's name for it is "lncRNA (ENSPPYG00000039856.1)". Lineage: Eukaryota; Metazoa; Chordata; Mammalia; Primates; Hominidae. The record is from RNAcentral.
CUGGGGGCCAUGAACUGUGGCUGCGAGAAGAGUCGGUGUGGCUCAGAGCAGCUGAGAAGGGAAGGAUGUAGAUGCACUAGGGAACCUGCAGAAGCUGAAAAGGAACCUGUACUUCUCAUUUUAUCAAGUCAUAUAUCACCACCCAGCUAGGGACAGACUACAGGAUCCAUGAGAGAAACAGAGAACUCCACAAUCCUUCCUCUGGAAUUUCUCUGGGGAGUAAAAUUAACAAAGAGGAUUUUAGCGCCUGGAAAUUCCAGGGUCAUGACUGGAAGAAGCCUUAAAAGUAAAGAGGCUGGGACCUGUGGCAGAAAAAG